CAGCCGCCACGGUAAAACGUAGGCAGCAAGCGUUGUUCGGAGUUACUGGGCGUAAAGGGUGUGUAGGCGGCUCUCUAAGUUUGGUGUGAAAUCUCCCGGCUCAACCGGGAGGGUGCGCCGAAUACUGAAGGGCUAGAGUACGGGAGAGGAAAGUGGAAUUCCUGGUGUAGCGGUGAAAUGCGUAGAUAUCAGGAGGAACACCGGUGGUGUAGACGGCUUUCUGGACCGUAACUGACGCUGAGACACGAAAGCGUGGGUAGCAAACAGGAUUAGAUACCCCUGUAGUCCCUGUCUCUUAUAC
RNAcentral lists this ribosomal RNA (301 nucleotides) under uncultured bacterium. RNAcentral's name for it is "partial 16S ribosomal RNA". It matches the Rfam family "Bacterial small subunit ribosomal RNA", at positions 509 to 807 of the family's 1533-position model. The record is from RNAcentral.